RNAcentral lists this long non-coding RNA (484 nucleotides) under Carica papaya (papaya). RNAcentral's name for it is "long non-coding RNA (CPAP_LNC001700)". Lineage: Eukaryota; Viridiplantae; Streptophyta; Magnoliopsida; Brassicales; Caricaceae. The record is from RNAcentral.
AUGGAGCCCGAAUCUGAUGUAUUUUUCGGUCAGGUGUUGUUUGAUUUAUUUGAAUGCAGUAUGGUGCCUGAUGUGUUUAUUAUAUGGUUUCGUAUGCAUGAAUCACGGUUUCAUUUAUUAUGAUUUGAAUUAUUAUGAACCCGAUGUUGUGUUGCCUUAUUUGGUGUCCAUUACUGGUUUACGUAUUUAUGUUUGAUUGGAUAAUUGAGAUUAAGAAAAAAAUAAAAAAAGGUAUGUGAAUUGAUAAAUGGAUAAUGUCGACAGCCUGACUAGAUAUCCUGAGAAAUGGUGGACGGACUGGGUCCAUAGAGAACCCUAACGAGAACGUGGUCUCUCAUAUCGGACGGGGUAUGAAGACUUUAUGUGUUUUGGCGUCCAUAUUGGAUGGGGUAUGGGGACGGCCCGUUUUACCCUCAUACCGGACGGGGUUUUGAGAUUUAUGGUUUUGGCGCCCAUACCGGACGGGGUAUGGGAACGACCCUGG